Molecule: long non-coding RNA, 6924 nt
Filed under: Brassica napus (rape)
Lineage: Eukaryota; Viridiplantae; Streptophyta; Magnoliopsida; Brassicales; Brassicaceae
Description: long non-coding RNA (BNAP_LNC002942)
Source: RNAcentral
ACCGCCAUCAAAAGGGUUUUGUGGAGAAGCUUAAAGUUCUUGGCUCCGAAAGCUUGCCCACAAAUGGGUUCCAUUGCAGCAGAGAUUCCGUAUAAAACAGCAAAACCAGUAGCGUUCGCAAAGGAAAACCCUAACGAGCCACCGGCUAGGUUAUGCUUGCCUUGACGGCCAAGAAACACAGAUGUACUUGUUAUCUUACCAAACCACAACAAGUUCAUAGCCACCAAUGGUAGGCCUAUUCUCAUUUGUACCUUGAGCUCAUGAAAAAUGCUCUGCAUCAACGUCUUUGAACAACACCCUUUGGAGACUUUCAAUCCAGAAGUCUCUAAAGAACACCCUUCAUAGGCUUCUGGAUGAAAAGUUUCUAACUUCGAUGUCUCUGACAUUUGUGUGUGUAGAAGAAGAGGAUAAUUUGGGGAAAGAGAAGUUAAUAAGUGAAGGAAUAAAAGGAAGAAAAAAACUUUGGGAGGUUUCAGCCAAUUUUUAGCAUGGCUUUGAGAAUUGCAUAGAUAAUUGCUUGCUUGCUUGUUUGUUGAUAAGAUCAACAACUCUGCAGGUGGAAAAUGGCUUUCAUGUUUUCGUGGAGGACUGUAAAUUGUAAAUUAAAAGCAUGGUUUGCGUGAGAGGUUGCGAUUUUCUGGAGAAAGUUAUUGUAACGCACAAGAAAAAGGGGUGGAAACAACUUGGUGGGUUUCCUAUGUACGUCUUAGUGCAUUGAUGAUGAUGAAACCAUAUCAGUCCCAUUUGCAAAAAAAAAUAAAUAUAUUUUUGAUUUUUGUUAUUUAAUCUUUAAAAAUUGAGCAGCUAAUAUUAUAAAUAUCAUCUUCUUAAAGAUUUCUAAACUUGAUUCCAGAUUUUGUUUCAGCUACUAUGCAAAAUUCUAUGAUGGUCAAAAGUAUAACUAUAAUGCACGGAUUAAGGCCCCGAUUAAUACUGGCAAACUGAUAGUUGAGCUAUUCCAUCUCUUCUUAGUACCGACUAGAAACUAUACUUUUUAUUUAUUUACAUAACUAUAAAUUUAUGAAACAAUAGAACACAUUAAAAAUACGAGGAAAAGUAAUAAAUAAUAAGAGUCAAAAGACAAGAAAAGAGAGGAUAUGCAACCUUGGCUUUCUAUUUUUCUUUAUAGAAAAGCAACAAAUAAUUGCAAUAAGGCAUAUAUAACUGUGUGAUGAAAAUUGAAAACAUCAUGAAUUUAAUAUACAAACUCCUUUUACGGAUCACUUGAUAUUUCAACUUUAUUUUGGUGCUUCUCAAAAGAGCUUUCGUCUAAAUUCUAUAAGAACCAAAAGAGAAAAAUAAAGGGUUCAAAAACAAUUUGACCAAAAAGGCUAAAAAAAAUAAUAAUAAUGGUUCGACUGGUUGGUACUUAUUUUUUUGAUAAAAAUAAUAAAAUUCAUUACCAAACUUUUAAGUUUUUUUACAGAACAACAGAAGAACCAAAAACCAGAAAAACUGAAAAUAAUUUAAACAUAGACUCAGACCUUGCUAAGAGAAUGAACCGACUACAAGUAAAACAACUAACUACCCGGUAAAAUCUGGCAUUUCCGUCCUUAAAGAUCUAUGUUGUCAAGAACUGCUCACGUAGCCCUUCUAAUCUGCAACCUCCAUGAACAGACAACGAUACUCGUGACCAAGUGCACCCGCUCACACUGAAUUGAGCUUUAUUCGGAUAAGAAACUACCAAAAGCCGCCACAGAUCACUGAACCUACACCAAAAAGACAGAGAAAGCAAGCACCACAUUGAGUUAAAAUGGACAGGAGGCAGUUAUUGAGAAAACAGAUUAUUUAUUUAUUUAAAAACUAAUUUUUGAGAAAAUUUAGAAAGAAAAGAUAUGACCCGUUUAUUUAUUUAUUUAUUUUUUAGGUAACAUGAUAAGGAUUUUCGCUGUUUUACCAUUAAAGUUAACAGUAUUAAAUCGGUGGGUGAACAUGAGUGACAAACUAUCAGUGUUUAUUUCAUACUAGGGUCGGUCCGGGCUACGCCCGAGUUUUUUAUUUAAAUUUUAAUUUUGAUUAUAUAUUUUGUAUAUUUAUUUAAUAUAUAUAUAUAGUAUAACCUAUUAUAAAAAUAUAAGUUAUUAAAUUAUUUAUAACUAUGCAUUUUUUGUCUUAUGAAUUGAAAAAUUUUAAUAUCCAAUUUUAAUAGGGCAAAUGUCCAAAAUAGCACCUUUCUAAGUUUAAUAUCCAAAUUUUAAUAUCCAAAUUUUUUUUAUAUUUUGUAAUUGGAAACUUUAUAUAAGGUAAAGAGAAAAAUUAAUUAAAUUUUAGUUAUGGUGUUUGAUUGGUUGGACUAUAGAUAUGUUUCAUUUCACUUACACCUUUUUAUAUCUUUUGUUUCCAAUUAGUUCUAAGCAAUUUAAUUGACCAUCCCCUUGAAAUCUACAAUCUUACUUAAUAUUUUAUUUCAAAAAUCAGCGGUUAAAAUGUUAUAAUAUUUUCUACAUCAAAAAUUUACAAUUACAUCAGUAAAAAAUUACAUACUAAAUUAUUUUAACAAAUUUUCUGCAUUUAUAACCAACUAAUCGGACCUAUAAUCUGAAUAUUUUUUUUAUCUCACUUAUAUAAGUUUUUCGAUUACAUAUUGUUAAAUGGACAACCCGAUAAAAUUUUAUUUAAGUUUUAGAACCAUUUAAUUCAUAACUUUAAUAGGUGUUUGAAUAUUUGUCUUUCCAAUUUUUUAUAUUCCGCUUCAUCAUGCAAUAUAUUUUGAUGUAAUUGCACCAUCUAUGUUUAUAUAUAUAUUGUUUCAAAAAAUAUCUUCUAUAUAUAUAUAUAAAGUGGAUAUAUAUAAUCAAUUUUGAACAAUGACCAUAAUCGUAUAACAAAUAAUCGUUACCAAAGUAUAACAAAUUUUGUGUUGUUGUUUUUAUUUAUAUUAUAGCAGUGAUGUCACAUGAUAAUGCACAAAUAUGUGAAACUCACGUUUCUUCUCUUUAAACAAAAAAAUAUAGACUGCCAAGCUAAGCUAUUAAAGUAUGUAUUGACCUGUGAAACUCAGGUUUUUUCGUUUUUGGGGUUUUUGCUUGUUCCAAGCAGCAGUAAAGUAAUUCACAGUUAACAAAAAACAGAUGAUACAUGAUAGAGCACCUCCAACAAUCUUGGAGGUUUAUGCUUGUUGCAACAACUAUUAGAUCAACACAGAAGCCUUCCAGGUGGUUGUGAAACGAUACAGCUUGAGAGUUGUGAGUGGAACAAACUCAAAGUCAGAGAAACAUCACUAACAAUGGAAAAUCAGAGAAAGAUCUGUUCAGACAUUUUGUUUCUUUUCUUUAAAACGUAUGAAAGUGAUAAGGACCACAAUAUGAAUCAAAUACCUGUCGAUUUUAAUUGUUGCCAUAACAUGACUGAGCACCUCGAACAAUCUUGAGGUUUAUGCUUGUUGCAACAUCAUCAUAACUGGGAGCAGCUGGAGCCUUCCGGUCAUGACACGAUUUUUUCCUUGUGUAGGGUCACUCACAAUACUCUUCACAGCUGUGAGCUCACAGAUAAGGUCUACAAAGAAAUCAAGAUGUCAAUAUCUAAUCACUUUCCAAUGUUGAUCCUGGGAUAAAGAGAUAUGAAGAUGAUUACCGGGAAGGUGUGUGUUCCUGUUGGCCAGCCAAAGUACCUCACUGUGAUUAUGGAACUUGAAGCGCUCUUUAGGAAUUGGUAGAACCGUAUCUCUUCAAAUUCAGUUGAAACACUGAACCGUAAAAGUAGAGGUGAGUCAGAGAUCCUGUAAUUCUGAUUGCAGCGAGUUAUAUCAAAUCAGUCAAAGGAGUACAUCAAACCUGCCUUAAAAUGAUGCCGGUAAGCCGUGAGACGGUGGCGGUAUGAGGGUUGCUUUGAAACAUUAAAAAAAUGAAAAAAUAAUCAAUAAGGGGAUUCAACACCAUCAAUCAGAAAGGAUUAAUAUAUUGUUGAAAACAUAAGCUUGAUAAGAUUAUAAAUGCUGUCCAAAACCGAGGAUGAUAAUAAGUUUAGAAAUCGGAAGAGAAAGAAAGCACCACCUUGAGUUAAAGUGGACAGGAGGCAAUCCUAGAUAUCGUCCAUGAAAGCAAGCACCACCUUGAGUUAAAAUGGAAAUCAUAUGCAUGAAAAUAUGAUAUCAUCGUUCGUACUGAUAUGAUUGCCACUCUUUCAUCGAAUUAAAGAUCGCAAGAUUGCAACUUUAGGUGAAACAUUUUCUCAGAAGGAUAAUUUAGAAAUAACUACUGCUUUAGAAUCAGAGACGUUUAGACUUUUAUACGUUAAUAGCCCUAGUUAUCACAACUUGACAAGUAUGCAACAAAGGCUCAUUUAUUUGUGCCGGACCAUCAAAGAGUAUUUCAACGUCUGUCCGACACAUUAGGCAACAGAACAUGUUAUUACUGCCGAGUCGAUCCAUUUGAAUAAAUAGGAAAAAUAAAAGUAAAAAUGAGCUUUCUUCUAACCUACACAACAUUAAGUGAGUCUAUAUAUGACUGUGAAGCUCAAACAAUUGUAUUGCAUCACUACUGAGAGCAUUUCUUGAAACCGCGGGGAAAAUUAAACAUGUGAUCCUUGGCUAACGAACAUAAUGAUUAGGGGUGGGCAAAAAAACCGAACCGAACCGAACCAACCGAACCGAAUCCGAUUCAAACCGAACCAAAGUCUAUUUUAAACCAUUCGGUUGAAGAUUUCCCCAACCCGAAUGGUUUGGUUCGGUUUAAACCGAACCGAACCGAGAAACCGAUGUAUCUUUGUAAUUAUUUAAAUUUAAAAUAUUACAUAUACCAAUAUACUAAAAUUCUAAUACUAAACCACAUACUUUUCAUUUUAUAUUCAUUAACAUAAAUUCUUCUAACCUAAUAUGUAAUCGUCAAAAUAUUUGAUUUAAAAUAUUUCAUUCAUUGCAAGCUUUUGAAUUUUAAUGAUAUAAGAUAUAUUACUAAUGAUGUUGAUUUUUUUUACUUUAGUUAACUUUCAUUUGUUUUAAUUUUUAUAUACUUUUGUGAAUUUUAAAAAAAAAUUGUUUCAGUUUUAUAUUGAAUUUAGUUUAUAUAGUUUAUGUUUACAUAAUUUAUGUUUUAAAACAUAAUUUCUUUUAGAAAAAUCAAACUAAGAAGAAUCUAAUUAAACUGGUCCAAAAAACAAACCGAACCGAAUAUAAACUGAACCGAAUACAAACUGAACCAAAUAUAAACCGAACCGAACACAAACCGAACCAAACUAACUAUGGUUUACUUCAGUUGAAAAAAUGCUAGAACCGAACUAACCAAACCGAACCGAACCCGAACCGAACCGAAAAAAUAACCGAAGUGCAUGUCCACUCCUAUUAAUGAUGCUUCUGUUGAUAUGUCGUUUGAUAUGUAUAAGGCUUUUUAAUCAAAAUUAUUGGAGAAAGUUAAACGAAUAUUUUGCUGAAAUAACUUAUACCUAUAAUAAUUUCUAGAAAAACUAAAGUUAAAAUUUAAAUAUUGGAGAACGUAAAGAAAAUUACAUGUAUCUUCGGAGAAGUACGAUCUGGGAAAGCAAAAUCUGACUACAAAACUCAUGUCUUCAUAUAUAUUUUAAGUUAUCUUUCAGUUACGUACUAGUAUUUUAUAGUAAUAUGAUUAAGAAGAGAUAAUUAAAAAUUGCUGGUUGGCAGAAUUAAGACAAUUGCUGUCCAGAAACAUUUUUGUGAGCCAAUAGCGGAAGAGAGAUUACCGUUCAAUAUAUAUUUAAAAUCUUAAUUGAAUUUAACCCUCGACGAGCUCCUGAAAAGUUGGACGACUAACUUAUAAUUAUUGCACAAACCAAUAUAAUCAAAAGACCAUUAUUGUUCAUAAUGCAAGAUUCCAUUCAGACUGUGUUCAACAUUUUAGUUAAGAUGAAGGUUUCUUUCUAUAUCCUAAACCUAAACUGAUCCAAAAACGCCACAAUUUGCAUACUAGAUUAAGAUCUCAACUCAAACAAAAACUAUUACAUGUUAAAUUUCGUUUCACUUCGACCACUGUUAUUCCUAAAUCAAAGCUCCAAACAAGCAUAUUUUUAAUAUCUAACAAUCAUAUUCUUAUAUAAUAUCAGAAGUCUUUUUUAUUAGAAGUAUCAGUUUUGUAAACUAAAAUUUCUUUAAUAGAACCUAACUAUUAGCCGAUGUUUGGAGUACUAUCCACCCCAAACAAGAACACAGUUAGAGAUUUUAAUAUUUUAAUGGCGAUCUACUCAAAAGAGUGUGAUUGUAUCUAUGAAAUGCGUAUGUAUAUACGGCAGAUAUAACUUUACUGAUAACACUGAGAUUCCUAAUGGAAAGAACCCUUGAAUCAUGUGAGGUUUCUUUGAGCGUUAGUUUGUCGUUAGCUUAAGUUCCAACUAGGCCAACUAAAUGGUCCUCAGAGAACCCACUUGAUCACUAAUUAACCCACAUGCCCCCCCCUGAUGAGGAUCUUGUCAACGUUUAGCCACAAGAGAGAUAUAGGGAUUGAUAUCAAGAGAAGCAAGAACACCGCCAUCAAAAGGGUUUUGUGGAGAAGCUUAUAGUUCUUGGCUCCGAACGCUUGGCCACAUAUGGGUUCCAUUGCAGCAGAGAUUCCGUAUAAAACAGCAAAACCAGUAGCGUUCGCAAAGGAAAACCCUAACGAGCCACCGGCUAGGUUAUGCUUGCCUUGACGGCCAAGAAACACAGAUGUACUUGUUAUCUUACCAAACCACAACAAGUUCAUAGCCACCAAUGGUAGGCCUAUUCUCAUUUGUACCUUGAGCUCAUGAAAAAUGCUCUGCAUCAACGUCUUUGAACAACACCCUUUGGAGACUUUCAAUCCAGAAGUCUCUAAAGAACACCCUUCAUAGGCUUCUGGAUGAAAAGUUUCUAACUUCGAUGUCUCUGACAUUUGUGUGUGUAGAAGAAGAGGAUAAUUUGGGGAAAGAGAAGUUAAUAAGUGAAGGAAUAAAAGGAAGAAAAAAACUUUGGGAGGUUUCAGCCAAUUUUUAGCAUGGCUU